UACACUCCUACGGGAGGCAGCAGUGGGGAAUAUUGGACAAUGGGCGCAAGCCUGAUCCAGCCAUGCCGCGUGAGUGAUGAAGGCCCUAGGGUUGUAAAGCUCUUUCACCGGAGAAGAUAAUGACGGUAUCCGGAGAAGAAGCCCCGGCUAACUUCGUGCCAGCAGCCGCGGUAAUACGAAGGGGGCUAGCGUUGUUCGGAAUUACUGGGCGUAAAGCGCACGUAGGCGGAGCGAUCAGUCAGGGGUGAAAUCCCAGGGCUCAACCCUGGAACUGCCUUUGAUACUGUCGAUCUGGAGUAUGGAAGAGGUGAGUGGAAUUCCGAGUGUAGAGGUGAAAUUCGUAGAUAUUCGGAGGAACACCAGUGGCGAAGGCGGCUCACUGGUCCAUUACUGACGCUGAGGUGCGAAAGCGUGGGGAGCAAACAGGAUUAGAAACCCUUGUAGUCCCAU
Molecule: ribosomal RNA, 450 nt
Filed under: uncultured organism
Description: partial 16S ribosomal RNA
Rfam family: Bacterial small subunit ribosomal RNA
Source: RNAcentral